RNAcentral lists this ribosomal RNA (417 nucleotides) under Triticum aestivum (bread wheat). Its description in RNAcentral is "partial small subunit ribosomal RNA". The record is from RNAcentral. Lineage: Eukaryota; Viridiplantae; Streptophyta; Magnoliopsida; Poales; Poaceae.
AUGGCGGCGGCGCUUCGACACGUGGUGAGGAGGCUCAUGGCUGAGGAGCGACGCCAGCUCUUCUCCCGAAGCCGACUUUUUCACACCCAUGGGCCGCGCAAGAUCAACGACGGGCUAUAUAGGGUGGAGCAGAAGAAAGCAGAGUUGUAUGAUUUGUUACCGAAGGCGAAGACGAAUCCCGAGGCUAUUGAUGAGCAUGACAUGCAGCUACUCAAACUAAUUCCCCAUUUUCGACGACAACUCGUUCCAGAAGUAGAUGACAUUCUCUGGCAGAGGGAGCGGUUUGUUACAAGGGUUAACAGUGUGCUCGAAGGAAUUGCCAGGACGGCAUUCUACAUUUGUAUUACUGCUUUGGCAUAUGGCAUCACCACCGACAAGGGGGUAAAAGACCAGACCAUUGACGAGGGAAGCCAGUGA